CCUACGGGUGGCAGCAGUGGGGAAUAUUGCACAAUGGGCGCAAGCCUGAUGCAGCAACGCCGCGUGAGUGAUGAAGGCCUUCGGGUCGUAAAACUCUGUCCUAAGGGAAGAAUAAUGACGGUACCUUAGGAGGAAGCCCCGGCAAACUACGUGCCAGCAGCCGCGGUAAUACGUAGGGGGCAAGCAUUAUCCGGAAUCACUGGGCGUAAAGGGUGCGUAGGCGGCUUGACAAGCCAGGGGUGAAAGGCAUUGGCUCAACCAAUGUAAGCCUUUGG
RNAcentral lists this ribosomal RNA (275 nucleotides) under uncultured bacterium. RNAcentral describes it as "partial 16S ribosomal RNA". It matches the Rfam family "Bacterial small subunit ribosomal RNA", at positions 338 to 630 of the family's 1533-position model. The record is from RNAcentral.